RNAcentral lists this ribosomal RNA (300 nucleotides) under uncultured Anoxybacillus sp. RNAcentral's name for it is "bacterial SSU rRNA". It matches the Rfam family "Bacterial small subunit ribosomal RNA", at positions 1082 to 1382 of the family's 1533-position model. Lineage: Bacteria; Bacillati; Bacillota; Bacilli; Caryophanales; Anoxybacillaceae. The record is from RNAcentral.
AAGUCCCGCAACGAGCGCAACCCUCGACCUUAGUUGCCAGCAUUCAGUUGGGCACUCUAAGGUGACUGCCGGCUAAAAGUCGGAGGAAGGUGGGGAUGACGUCAAAUCAUCAUGCCCCUUAUGACCUGGGCUACACACGUGCUACAAUGGGCGGUACAAAGGGUCGCGAACCCGCGAGGGGGAGCCAAUCCCAAAAAAGCCGCUCUCAGUUCGGAUUGCAGGCUGCAACUCGCCUGCAUGAAGCCGGAAUCGCUAGUAAUCGCGGAUCAGCAUGCCGCGGUGAAUACGUUCCCGGGCCUU